UAGGGAAUCUUCCGCAAUGGGCGAAAGCCUGACGGAGCAACGCCGCGUGAGUGAUGAAGGUCUUCGGAUCGUAAAACUCUGUUAUUAGGGAAGAACAAAUGUGUAAGUAACUAUGCACGUCUUGACGGUACCUAAUCAGAAUGCCACGGCUAACUACGUGCCAGCAGCCGCGGUAAUACGUAGGUGGCAAGCGUUAUCCGGAAUUAUUGGGCGUAAAGCGCGCGUAGGCGGUUUUUUAAGUCUGAUGUGAAAGCCCACGGCUCAACCGUGGAGGGUCAUUGGAAACUGGAAAACUUGAGUGCAGAAGAGGAAAGUGGAAUUACAUGUGUAGCGGUGAAAUGCGCAGAGAUAUGGAGGAACACCAGUGGCGAAGGCGACUUUCUGGUCUGUAACUGACGCUGAUGUGCGAAAGCGUGGGGAUCAAACAGG
This 429-nucleotide ribosomal RNA is filed under the name Actinomycetes bacterium. RNAcentral describes it as "Actinobacteria bacterium partial 16S ribosomal RNA". It matches the Rfam family "Bacterial small subunit ribosomal RNA", at positions 355 to 776 of the family's 1533-position model. The record is from RNAcentral. Lineage: Bacteria; Bacillati; Actinomycetota; Actinomycetes.